GACGAACGCUGGCGGCGUGCUUAACACAUGCAAGUCGAACGGAAAGGCCCUGCUUUUGUGGGGUGCUCGAGUGGCGAACGGGUGAGUAACACGUGAGUAACCUGCCCUUGACUUUGGGAUAACUUCAGGAAACUGGGGCUAAUACCGGAUAGGAGCUCCUGCUGCAUGGGGGGGUUGGGAAGGUUUCGGCGGUUGGGGAUGGACUCGCGGCUUAUCAGCUUGUUGGUGGGGUAGUGGCUUACCAAGGCUUUGACGGGUAGCCGGCCUGAGAGGGUGACCGGCCACAUUGGGACUGAGAUACGGCCCAGACUCCUACGGGAGGCAGCAGUGGGGAAUAUUGCACAAUGGGCGGAAGCCUGAUGCAGCAACGCCGCGUGCGGGAUGACGGCCUUCGGGUUGUAAACCGCUUUCGCCUGUGACGAAGCGUGAGUGACGGUAAUGGGUAAAGAAGCACCGGCUAACUACGUG
Molecule: ribosomal RNA, 468 nt
Filed under: uncultured bacterium
Lineage: Bacteria
Description: partial 16S ribosomal RNA
Rfam family: Bacterial small subunit ribosomal RNA
Source: RNAcentral